CGACGGCCUUUCGGGUUGUAAACCUCUUUUAGCAGGGAAGAAGCGAAAGUGACGGUACCUGCAGAAAAAGCGCCGGCUAACUACGUGCCAGCAGCCGCGGUAAUACGUAGGGCGCAAGCGUUAUCCGGAAUUAUUGGGCGUAAAGAGCUCGUAGGCGGUUUGUCGCGUCUGCUGUGAAAUCCCGAGGCUCAACCUCGGGUCUGCAGUGGGUACGGGCAGACUAGAGUGCGGUAGGGGAGAUUGGAAUUCCUGGUGUAGCGGUGGAAUGCGCAGAUAUCAGGAGGAACACCGAUGGCGAAGGCAGAUCUCUGGGCCGUAACUGACGCUGAGGAGCGAAAGGGUGGGGAGCAAACAGGCUUAGAUACCCUGGUAGUCCACCCCGUAAACGUUGGGAACUAGUUGUGGGGUCCAUUCCACGGAUUCCGUGACGCAGCUAACGCAUUAAGUUCCCCGCCUGGGGAGUACGGCCGCAAGGCUAAAACUCAAAGGAAUUGACGGGGACCCGCACAAGCGGCGGAGCAUGCGGAUUAAUUCGAUGCAACGCGAAGAACCUUACCAAGGCUUGACAUAUACGAGAACGGGCCAGAAAUGGUCAACUCUUUGGACACUCGUAAACAGGUGGUGCAUGGUUGUCGUCAGCUCGUGUCGUGAGAUGUUGGGUUAAGUCCCGCAACGAGCGCAACCCUCGUUCUAUGUUGCCAGCACGUAAUGGUGGGAACUCAUGGGAUACUGCCGGGGUCAACUCGGAGGAAGGUGGGGAUGACGUCAAAUCAUCAUGCCCCUUAUGUCUUGGGCUUCACGCAUGCUACAAUGGCCGGUACAAAGGGCUGCAAUACCGUAAGGUGGAGCGAAUCCCAAAAAGCCGGUCCCAGUUCGGAUUGAGGUCUGCAACUCGACCUCAUGAAGUCGGAGUCGCUAGUAAUCGCAGAUCAGCAACGCUGCGGUGAAUACGUUCCCGGGUCUUGUACACACCGCCCGUCAAGNCAUGAAAGUCGGUAACACCUGAAGCCGGUGGCCCAACCC
This 1023-nucleotide ribosomal RNA is filed under the name Microbacterium flavum. RNAcentral's name for it is "bacterial SSU rRNA". It matches the Rfam family "Bacterial small subunit ribosomal RNA", at positions 409 to 1441 of the family's 1533-position model. Lineage: Bacteria; Bacillati; Actinomycetota; Actinomycetes; Micrococcales; Microbacteriaceae. The record is from RNAcentral.